CUGAUACCUUCUCUUCCAAAGAAAGGAUCCAACACAGGGACUACCUGAAACCAGGAGAUAAUGAAAUUAUUUUGAAGUACAGAUUAGAAUUCAACGAGUCUUGAGAUUGAAGAUAUGAUAAAAAAAUAAGACAAAUCUCUUCAAGACAACACAAGGUAUGAUAAAUUUUGCUAAGAACAGCAUCAUGAAAAACCCCAGAAGAACAAAGUGGCCUGGGAGAAAACCAGAAGGUGUGGAGACUAUUAUUGCUCAUGCUUGUGUCUGUAGACUCCCAGGAGUCCAGCUGAUUCAGG
This 293-nucleotide long non-coding RNA is filed under the name Zonotrichia albicollis (white-throated sparrow). RNAcentral's name for it is "lncRNA (ENSZALG00000011473.1)". Lineage: Eukaryota; Metazoa; Chordata; Aves; Passeriformes; Passerellidae. The record is from RNAcentral.